UAUUGCACAAUGGGCGCAAGCCUGAUGCAGCGACGCCGCGUGGGGGAUGACGGCCUUCGGCCCCCUCAACUCCUUUCGCUAGGGACGAAGCGUAUUUGUGACGGUACCUGGAGAAGAAGCACCGGCUAACUACGUGCCAGCAGCCGCGGUAAUACGUAGGGUGCGAGCGUUGUCCGGAAUUACUGGGCGUAAAGAGCUCGUAGGUGGUUUGUCGCGUCGUUUGUGUAAGCCCGCAGGUUAACUGCGGGAAUGCAGGCGAUACGGGCAUAACUUGAGUGCUGUAGGGGAGACUGGAAUUCCUGGUGUAGCGGUGGAAUGCGCAGAUAUCAGGAGGAACACCGAUGGCGAAGGCAGUGCCCCUGGGCCGUAACUGACGCGCAGGAGCGAAA
Molecule: ribosomal RNA, 389 nt
Filed under: uncultured bacterium
Lineage: Bacteria
Description: bacterial SSU rRNA
Rfam family: Bacterial small subunit ribosomal RNA
Source: RNAcentral